UACGUAGGUGGCAAGCGUUGUCCGGAUUUACUGGGCGUAAAGAGCGCGCAGGCGGUCGUUUAAGUCGAAUGUGAAAGCCCCCGGCUCAACUGGGGAGGGUCAUUCGAUACUGAUCGACUUGAAGGCAGGAGAGGGAAGUGGAAUUCCGGGUGUAGUGGUGAGAUGCGUAGAUAUCCGGAGGAACACCGGUGGCGAAGGCGGCUUCCUGGACCGACACUGACGCUGAGGCGCGAAAGCUAGGGGAGCAAACGGG
This 253-nucleotide ribosomal RNA is filed under the name uncultured bacterium. Its description in RNAcentral is "partial 16S ribosomal RNA". It matches the Rfam family "Bacterial small subunit ribosomal RNA", at positions 524 to 776 of the family's 1533-position model. The record is from RNAcentral.